This is a long non-coding RNA of Humulus lupulus (European hop), 2040 nucleotides long. RefSeq lists it as uncharacterized. The transcript is spliced from 4 exons. The record is from RefSeq and is a predicted model, not a curated record. NCBI's taxonomy places the organism in Eukaryota, Viridiplantae, Streptophyta, Magnoliopsida, Rosales, Cannabaceae.
UUAGGGAGUCAUUUUUUCUCUGCUUAAAGAAGAAGAAAAGACUACGGAUGGGUCCUCUGCACCCGUGCUUCUCACCGGCGUCACCUACUACAAACGGAGGUGAGGGUGAAGGCGACGACGACGACAACGACGCCUACUACAGAGGGAGGUGAAUUCGACGACGACGUUGCUGGGGUUCUCCACACCUGGGGUCUGUUAAAUUCGCCCAUUCCGUUCUUCCCUUCCGUCGAAGUCGAGACCCAACAAGCAUUGAAUCCUCUCUCUCUCGAAUCUCAAGCCUGAAAUCAUGGUUGAGUGUUUAACCUCUGAUUUUCGAGGUGACUUGACUGUUGUGCACAAUUUGGUUCACUCAGAUUAGAUGUGUUUGCACACAACAUUGAGAUUGUUAAACGACUUCAACAAAUUGUUCGAGAUCCUCGGGCUGGGUAAGCAGCGUCACUAAGUUUUUGCUUCUUAAAUUGUUGUUUUAAUCCCUCUUUUUUAUACCUUCUUUAUCUUCUAGUGUGUUUGGUAUGAAAUUUAGUUAUAAUAGUUAGAUUAUACUUCUAAAUCUCAACUACAUGCUACUUUUUGUAAUACAACAAUUUUUUAUUUAUUUGUUUCCUAAGAUCUCCUUUUUGUAUAUUGCUUGACUUGUCACAUUUCUUAUACUGACCCAAUUAUGGUUUGAUGAUUUUCAUUUCAUCUUUACUAUUGAUGUUUUCAUGCUUCAAAGAAUUAGCAGCAGUGAAGGGGGAUUCUCUAGGCUAUUCAUGUUGAUGCCAGAGAUGAUGGACUUUCUCAUUAUUUUAAAACUUAAAUUCGAAAAAAUGAAGCUAACAUCAGACCUCAGUCAAGUUAUAUUGAUGCCUUUAGAUUUUCCAUUAUCUAAUGACAACUAUGAAUGGUGUUCUUAUAAGCUAGAAAGACCAAGACUGUUCAAUAAGUCCUUUCUUUCUGGAACACUAGAUGUACCUUUAACUUGUAAAACCUUGACGUGAACCUUGUAUUUAGUCUCUGAACUGGUCUCAUGGUUUUAUGUAUUAUUAACUCAACCACUAAUUUAUUCUGAUUUUAAAGAAUAGAUAGGUGAAUUAAGUUUAUGGCUGGCGUAUCUAGCUAGCUUCAGUAAGGUGCCUCUGAUUAUACAGUCUUUCUAGAAGGAUUGCUCCCUGGAUUUCAUAUUUUUCUCUACUAGUUGAGAUUACUUCAUUGGUGCAGGUAUGAGCAGAGCUUAUCCAUUUUGAACACAUGCAAAGGUCAAUAAGGAGGGUAUGAUUACAAAAUCUUCCAUAAUGCUGGGUCUCGGAGAAUGAGAUAAUGAGUUGAAGGAAGCCAUGGCUGAUUUGAGGGCUAUAGAUGUUGAUAUAUUGACCCUUGGGAAAUAUUUACAACCAACUCCAUUACAUUUGAAUAUCAAAGAAUAUGUCACCCCUGAGAAGUUUGCUUUCUGGAAGUAAUAUGGAGAGUGUAUAGGAUUCUGUUAUGUAGCCAGUGGGCCAUUGGUAAGAUCUUGUACAGUUGGUUUAUUUAUGAAUCUGUUAUGUAGCUAGUGGGCCAUUGGUAAGAUCUUGUACCGUUGGUUUAUUUAUGAUCAAGACCCAAUUCCCUUUACACAAGCUAAAGAAAAAGAGGAUUUCACCAACUUGUCCACCAACACAAGACCCACAACAUCCUCCACAACAACUUCCCACUAUUCAAGAAGAGGCAGGAUCAAGUAUGGCUAGUAAGCCACCAAUUAUCUUCAAGUGUGGUGGGAAGAAUACAUAUACACAGCGAAAUUAAUGAAACUCGAAAUGAAUGGGCAGCCAAGCUUCUUGAGCGGAUGAGUCAUAGCUAGAGUAACUUUUGAAAUCUAAUUGUAGUUUUUAGUUAGCACUUACAUGAUUAUUGCAAGUGUAUUUUAAUCUUAUAAUUUUUAGAUUUGGAACACACUGAGUUCUAUUGAUUUUGUUUGCGUGUUGAUUCUGUCUAAACUAUGUUGUAAUUAAUAUAGUGGUUGAAAAUAGAGAAAUAAAAAAAUUCUCAUAUUUUACAUGGGACGUCGGUCUCCGCAAAACU